Molecule: RNA transcript, 4107 nt
Organism: Prunus persica (peach)
Lineage: Eukaryota; Viridiplantae; Streptophyta; Magnoliopsida; Rosales; Rosaceae
Exons: 4
Source: RefSeq, a predicted model, not a curated record
UCUCUCUCUCUCUCUCUCUCUUCUUAACAAGUUCGUGGUGAGAGCCAGCCACCAAGGGGAUGAAGGGUUUGUGAUUUUGGGGCGCUUUCACUUUUCUUAUUGUAUUCACUUUUUAUACUAUAUGAAGAUGACAUAUGUAACCUUACAGUGUACCGUUGCAAGUACACCACAUAUAAUUGAGUUUGCCCAAAAUAGUGACUACACCAUCAAGUCUUGGUAUUAUAUAUUAUUAUUUUUAUAUCAUUUCUUCUGUUUGUAUCUGUUGAGCAAGUCUUUCUUUAUCAUUUCUGCGGUAUAGCAUCUCUAUGUAACUCUCUCUCAGUGUUUGUAUUGUAUCUGCCGAGAAAAUCUCACAAGCGCAGCCAAAAAUGCUGCUUACAGCUCUGAGCAGUUGGGUUUUUGUGGAAAAGAGGAGGCUCAUUGAGGUGUUUCCGGAGCCCGUUCAGAAACUAUGGAAUCUUUGGGAGCUAAGAGUGAUGGUUUUGAUCAGCCUCACCUUGCAGAUUUCACUUAUUCACUUUGGCAGCCGCAGGAAGUAUAACGUCAAAACCGAAAUAAGAGUCUUCCUCUGGUUUGCCUACCUAAUGGCAGAUUGGGUAGCAACUGUUGCUCUUGGUGUCCUCUCCCAGAACCAGGGAAAGUCCAGCAGCUGCGAUACCAAAGGGGGUUCUCCAGGAGGCGACAAACUAGACGACGAGCUCUCUGCUUUCUGGGCACCGUUUCUUUUGUUGCAUCUUGGCGGCCCAGACACAAUCACAGCUUAUGCUUUGGAAGACAAUGAGCUGUGGUUGAGGCACUUGCUUGGACUGGCUGUUCAAGUAGGCGUUGCACUAUACAUCUUUCUUAUGGCCUGGAAGACUAGCUGGCUUUCAAUUCUUACUAUUCCCAUGCUUCUUUCUGGGCUUAUCAAGUAUGGAGAGAGGACAUUGGCCCUGAGAUCAGCAAAUCGCGAAAAGUUUCGUGAUUCAAUGCUCACUCGUCCUGAUCCGGGACCCAACUAUGCAAAAUUCAUGGAGGAAUUUUCUUUGAAGAAAGCUGAGGGAUACAAAGUGAGUGCUGAAGAUGUUGAGGUUCAAGUUGGGGUGGAUGAGGUUCGUGAUGCAGUUGCAGAUGUUCGUUCCAAUUCUGAACCAAGCAUAGUGGUCAAAUCGCAUGACUUGUUCAAUACUUUCAAGCGCCUAUAUGUAGAUCUCAUCCUUAGCUUCGAAGAUCGAGAUGGUAGCCAAAUCUUCUUCCAGAACCUUGACUCCUCUGAAACUGCCUUCAAGGUAGUUGAGGUUGAACUUGGAUAUGCCUAUGAUGUAUUCUACACCAAGGCUCCAAUAAUUUACACUCGCCGGGGUUGUUUCUUCCGCACCGUCACUUUAUCCUCCACCUGUCUUGUGUUUGUGCUCUUCCUGAUAAAUGUGAGGCACAAGCACGCACUCACUGAUUUAAUUACUACUUACAUAUUGCUGGUUGGAGCCAUUAUCUUAGAGAUCUAUGCGUUGGUUUUGGUAGUUUCCUCUGAUUGGACGACACUUUGGCUGAGCAAAACAAGUUGGUACGGUAAACCACCCUCUUCACAGCCUCCAGGUAUCCGAAGAACUCUCUCUUCACAAGUAACCAGUGUGGUUCAACUGGCUAAAAGGCAGAGGUGGUCAAAUUCAAUGGCUCAAUUCAAUUUGCUUAGCUUUUGUCUCAAAACUAAGCCUUUAAUUCGUCGUGAAAGCCCAAAAUCUGUUUGCAUGCAGAAAGUGUUAGAGAUGAAGUUGUACAAAUUCCUAAACCAAAUCUCUGCUUACCUAAAGCAGUGGCUCUUCAGUCACAUACUGCACAAGUUGGAUGAAAAAUUGGAGAUGUUCUUGUACUUCACUCGUGAGCCGAUCUCCAAUGAGUUAAAAGAACUUAUUUUUCACCACUUCUUACAAAAAUCGCAAACUAAGGGAAAGCUUACAGAGCUAUGUGCCGGUAGAGGGAACCUUGUCCUUGAUCAGUAUAAGUUCCCUGAUUUCAUGACAUGGACAACAGAAGUGGAAUUCGACCAAAGCAUACUUUUGUGGCAUAUUGCCACAGAUCUCUGCCAUCACUCUGAUGCUACAAAAACUUCAGCCACAGAAUAUUUGCAUCGUGAGGUGAGCAUGCAAAUAGCAGAUUAUAUGAUGUAUCUUCUUGUCAUGUGUCCCUUCAUGUUACCUAUAGGAAUCGGACUGAUCAGGUUUCAAGACACCUGCGCUGAGGCCAAGGAAUAUUUUGAACAAAGAAAUCGCACGAGUUCAGUUAAAACUGAAGCUUGUGAAAUGUUGCUUCGCGUAAGCACCGAAGUAAAGCCCGCCAAAGUGAAGGGAGACAGAAGCAAAUCUGUAUUAUUUGAUGCAUGUAGCCUUGCAUCAUCACUUAAUAACCAAAAAGAAAAGAAGUGGGAGAUACUGAGCCAAGUAUGGAUUGAAAUUCUAGGCUAUGCAGCUAGUCAUUGUCGAGGGAAUUUCCAUGCUCAACAGCUUAGAAGAGGCGGGGAGCUUCUUACUCAUGUCUGGCUGUUGAUGGCUCAUCUUGGAAUCACAGAACAACUUCAGAUAUCACAAGGACAUGCGAGAGUGAAGUUGAUUGUGAAGUAGCAAAAGCUUGUCUCAAGCAACGACAUAAGAAGUUUGGCAAUGGAGGGUUGUUAGCUCCAUUUGCUUCCUGCAGUAGACUACCAGUUUUAAGGACUCUUUCUGCCGCACAACAACAAUAAGUUCACUUUCUUCUUCAGCCAAAUUUACAGUGACCAUUGAUUCUUGGAACCACUCCAUCACCAUUUUGUUUGCGACGCUGCGACUCACGUUCACGUCUAUAAACAUAUAGUAAAACAUCAAACAAAUGAACAAGACAAGUUUCAUUACAUAAUGUACUAAUCACUGGUGCUGCAAUUUGCUGAUCAACUUUGAGGAUUGCAGCAGGGGUUCCAAAAUAGGAGAAAAACAAGAAAGGUUAAUGUUGUUUCAUUUUUUUCGCUGGGCAAGUGAACCACAUGAACUGAUGUCUCUGAUCCAUAUCUGCUUGUUGGACUUGAGGAUAAAGUGUUAGAUUAGAUUCCUUGCUCAGGGUGGGUGCAGUUAAAGAGGAGAACAGAGAACCUUAAGACGAUUCGCCAAAUUACAGAAUUAAUAUGUGAUGCAGAGGAUAGAUAUUAUUGACCUGUUUUUCAUUAGCAUUUAAAGCAAAAGAGACUCAGAUUUCUAUUUCAUGUUCCUCUGGUUCUUAAAACUUCCUGUCCGUGUUUCUUCUGAAAGGUGUGUUUCAUGUAAGCGUUUUCAUCACUUCUAAGUUUCACAUGAAAUGCUAAAUUCAAGUGGAGAUACAGAAGCUUGAUACAGACUGAAUUGGUCAGGUUUGUGACUGCCAGUUUCAACCAUUGACGUCAUAAGUGCAUACAAUGUAGCGAAGUGAGCAAUAUGAAAAACCAAAGAAACUGACAGACAACAAUUCUUACAGCCCAGAAAGCAACCUCUUCAAUGCAAAUGCCACAGUGUAGCAAAGGAUUUAUCUUAUGAUUAUUCCCCAGUAUUGGUUUUCAUUGAUGUUAUGACAGCAUCUGAUUUCCAAUUAUGGAGGUUCUGCAUUCCUCUAGGUUUUCCAGCACCCGGUCUCAGAAUUCAAAGUGAACCAAAUGUACCUUGUUCAAAAGCCCAAGAUAGACUUGAUACCGAUACCUGGAAAAGUAGUAGGUAUGCUCAUCAAACACAGAUAUGUGGCAAUGGCGAUCAUUUAUUGGAGCUUCAAUAUCGUUACGCUGCUCCCAGGAGCUUGAUGAGCGCUGCUCGACUCAAGAAGCUGCACAAUCUUUGGCGGUAGCCAUGUCUCUGGGUUCAGUAUUGACGUUUUAAGGCUGCACUGGAGGUAUUACCAUUGCUCCGUUUGAAUUCAUUCCCUUCGCAAAUCAUGAUGGCACCAAUGCAGGCACCCAAGUGCCCAGCAAUACAACUUGGAAUAAUAUUCAUAAUCAUUCCUUCUUCAUAAAGAUCAUGAACAUAUAUGAAGAUCUUUUGUUGCCUGGACCAAAUAUGGAACCAUUCUUUUUUUUUUUUUAAAUACCACUUAAACUUUUAAACAUGUUUACAAUUAUCACCUAAUUUUUUAAUUUUA